This is a long non-coding RNA of Portunus trituberculatus (swimming crab), 767 nucleotides long. RefSeq lists it as uncharacterized. Lineage: Eukaryota; Metazoa; Arthropoda; Malacostraca; Decapoda; Portunidae. The record is from RefSeq and is a predicted model, not a curated record. The transcript is spliced from 4 exons.
AAUAAGCGGGAGCUGGGACGAAAGGCCAAGUGCGUAGUGAGCAUGAAGGGAAAUAUCACCACGGUCACCAACCCUGAUGACUCGGCCGAUGUCAAGUCCUUCACCUACGACUACUCUUACUGGAGCUUUGACGGCUGCAAGGAGGAGCCCAAUGGCUACUUUGCCAAGCAGUCACCCAACUCCAAAACACGGUGUACAAUGAUCUGGGAGGUGGAGUCUUAGCAAACGCCUGGGCUGGUUAUAACUCCACACUGUUCGCUUAUGGGCAGACAGGCUCGGGAAAAUCUUAGUCUCUCAUUGGAUAUGGAUCCAAUAAAGGAAUCGUGCCAUUGUUCUGUAACGAUUUAUUUAAUGGCAUCACACAAAACACAGAGGAGAAGGAGUUUGAAGUGAGGUUCAGCAUGUUGGAGAUCUACAAUGAGGUAGUUCAUGACCUGCUCAACCCCACCAAGAGCAAGAAAGGCCUCAAGGUCCGCCAACACCCGAAGAAAGGCUUCUAUGCUGAAGGCCUCAAGCUGGCUCUGGUCACCAACUACAACGAAAUUGAGCAGAAGAUGAACGAGGGCACCGUCAACCGCACCAUCGCCUCCACCAACAUGAACGCCACCUCAUCCCGCGCCCACACCAUCGUUGGCAUCACCGUCAUACAGAAAUUCAAAAACAAUGCUGGACAAGAAACAGCAAAGCAGGCCGUUGUGAACUUGGUGGAUCUGGCUGGCAGGUGUGUGUGUGUGUGUGUGUGUGUGUGUGUGUGUGUGUGUGUGUGU